AACGCACAUUGCGCCCAUUAGUAUUCUAGUGGGCAUGCCUGUUCGAGCGUCAUUUCAACCCUUAAGCCUAGCUUAGUGUUGGGAGACUGCCUAAUACGCAGCUCCUCAAAACCAGUGGCGGAGUCUGUUUGUGCUCUGAGCGUAGUAAUUUUUUUAUCUCGCUUCUGCAAGCCGGCCAGACGACAGCCAUAAACCGCACCCUCUCGGGGGGCACUUUUUUAAUGGUUGACCUCGGAUCAGGUAGGAAUACCCGCUGAACUUAA
Molecule: unclassified non-coding RNA, 263 nt
Filed under: uncultured Ascomycota
Lineage: Eukaryota; Fungi; Ascomycota
Description: sequence contains ITS2
Source: RNAcentral